CGAUGCGGUGGGACCUUGGAAGGCGCGACGCCGGCCGGCGGGUGGAGGAGGUGGAGGAGGGGUGUUGGAGGAGGAGGUGUGCGGGGCCGGGGCUGGGGGCGGCGUGGUGUAGCCGGGGAGGGUGGUGGGUGUUGGGGUGCUGCCGGCGGCGGCGCGGAGAUGGUCUUCCAGCUCGUCGCGGUCGGCGGACCGGAGCUCGAUGCGGGUGGGGUUGCGCCGCAGCAUUUGGGAUUUGGAUUGGGAAUUUGGGAUGGAAUGGAACGGCGGAUGUGAGCGGAUAUCUGUAGCGCUCCGAUGUCUCAUUCGAUUUUGGUUGCACAAUCUCGGUAUUCUGCAGCUGUUGCCUGUUGGAUUAAAUUGUUGAGUUUGAC
Molecule: long non-coding RNA, 371 nt
Filed under: Setaria italica (foxtail millet)
Lineage: Eukaryota; Viridiplantae; Streptophyta; Magnoliopsida; Poales; Poaceae
Description: long non-coding RNA (SITA_LNC005540)
Source: RNAcentral